RNAcentral lists this long non-coding RNA (15314 nucleotides) under Podarcis lilfordi (Lilford's wall lizard). Lineage: Eukaryota; Metazoa; Chordata; Lepidosauria; Squamata; Lacertidae. The record is from RNAcentral.
AGGGAGUUGACCAAGAUGGCGCCGAGGCAAGUCACGCUCUCCGGCGCUCACUUUUAUUUUUAAAAAACCUUAUCUUAAUUGCCCUCCGGAUGCCAAUUUUUAACAAACGGAAAACAUUUUAAAGACUCUGAACAUUUUUAUAACUCCUGUCGGCUCUGCGAGCUUCAGCUUGUCCCAGCCUGCUCCCUCCCUCCUUAUCAGCUGCCCGGUCAAGGUUGCCAGAGAGGAGAGAACGCUGCUGCCUGAACUGAGAGCAGAGAGACAGAAGAGGUCUAAAGACAGAACUGUGAACUGCUUAUCCGACCAACGGUGCCUGGAGAAGGAGGGUAAGGAGAGAUACGACUGUGAGCUUUGCUUUGAGAUUGGCCCAUAGACACCCAGCUCAGCUGAACACAGAGAAAGAUAAAGCUUGGAGAUUCAGGGUUAACUGAACUGACUGACCCCCGCCCAGCUGGGGGGCUGUGUGAACUAGCUGGGGACAACAUUCCUGCUUAGUUGAAGAGGAAGUGCUGUAGCUGGAAAGACUCUUCAUUUUAAUAAACUCUUUCGAGGAGACCAGCUUUUAUAUUCUCAGAGACUCCUGGUGAAGGCACCCUGAGUCUUUUACAGGAAUUUUUUAAUCUACACAAUAACUCCACAACAGUGUAUCGGAUAGGACCUUCUGGAGGUUUGGAAAACCGGCUUCAGCAAGAUAUCGUUCUGUGCCCUGCCUUAUGUGGUAGGCCUUUGAAAGACUACCUAGAAGGAAUCAGCGAACCAGCCCACAGAAAGUUUCCCUUCUGGGGCUCUUGGAUAUCCUUCGUUCAGUAUGGGGCGGUGGAAGAUGGCCUCUAAAGACUAAGCUAAGACCCGAAAUACAAGGUUAUCAUAGCUGUACAUGCGCUAUAGCCAAACUCCACUAUUAUCCUUUUCCAGCUGCACACAAAUUGCCUAAAUAAGGCAAUUUUAAUUUUAAUGUAGUUUUUAGCCGUUUUAUUACUGCUGUCUCUUUGGCAGCAUUGUUUUAUUAUUAUAUUCUGACUAGGUUGCAGCAUUUGUGAAACAGCGCUGGUCGCAUGAUUGAGGUGAAAACUACAGGCUUAGGACAAUUGCCAAGAUCUAAAAGCAGAGAACUCAAAAUAGAGAAAUAUAUUGAGGCUGUUGAUGAGCACAUCAGGAAGCUGUUGCAGAGAGCAGGUGGGAAUAUAGAUUGAUACCCCCACUUGCCCCCCAAUCUAAGGCAGUCGCACCUGGGGUAAACUGCCCUCUCUCUAUAUCGAGACCACUUUUACCAUGGUUUUUACUAGGAGAAAAUACAAGGAGUUGGGUAUACUGCCUGACUCGGCAAUCAGCCCCUCGGGCCCUGGUAAAAGACAAAGCAAAAUCACAAAUUACUUUCCUAAGAUGGAGGAGGGUAAGAGUCCACAAAAAGAGUUAAUUCUUGAUGAAGUAAUACCCCCCUCUCUUACUGUUCUUGAUUGGACAUCUAAUUUUAAAGAGAUAUACCAAGAUACUGGAAAUAUUAACUCCCCAUGCAGCCUAGCGCAAGAACUAGCUUUAGCCGAGGAACUUCAGGAGGGAAAUACCUCUAUUACUAAGGAACAGCUGCCCACGGAAGAAAUUACAUCAACCCAUCAAAACCAGAUACUUACUCCAAAAUACUCUCAAACAGAAUUGAGUGACGGUCGCCCUUUGGAUUAUUCCCUAGCAAUAAGUUCUGAUUUAGCCAACAUAAAAAUUAUCUAACAAUAACAAAUGGGCUACUGCUGACGUUAGUAGAAAAUUUCACAUCUCAAUUAAAAGAGUUAAAAUUAAAUGAUAUGCCACAAGAACAUAAAACAGUUGAGCUAGCGUCGAUGAACAAACCAGUAAUAAAUAAGAAUCUGCAAAGACAUAACUCAAGGGUAAAAGUGAAGAAAAGUAAAAAUAUUAAAACAACAAGGAUAGCCAAGCAUACCCGCAGUAAUCGAAACAUACAUUGGCAGAAAUUGUUUAAACUUCUUCCCCCAGCCCCAAAUAAAUCGACCACACGGGGCAGCAAAAGAAGGGUAAAAAGAGAGAAACAAAGGUAGUUACACAGCAACCGGCUAAGGAGGACUCGCUAAGGCUGACUCCAGUAGCAAAUGAGAAGGCAGAAGUAACAACUCAGUCCUUGGAUAACCAACUUUUUAAUAAACCUGAUGCUGCGGAAGUAGAGGCCUCUUUCUAUGAAGGCAAUAAAACACUUAGUAAACCGAACAGCGGGGAAGAGGAAGCGUUUAGUAGAGAUGAUACCCCCCUUCAGACCUGGCAAGCCUCCAGUCAGAAAAGAGAUUGGAAUUUGAUCCUAAAUCCCCAAAAACUGGUAUUCACGAACUUCCCGAAGCCUAAGGGCUUCCUUACAGGGAAACAGCGAAUAAUGAACUUUGUAUCUAGUCUAAAUGACAUACUGCCAGGAAUGGUUAAUGCUAAUGAUAUCACCUCGGUGGAAUAUUUACAUUAUGAUGGUCACUCAGUGAGAGCACUGACCACUUUUAGGGAUCAGAACCUGGCCAAGUAUAUUUUUAGGUCAAGACCUGCCUUUUUAAAAGCACGGACAAUAAUACUUAGGUUCUUUGAAAAUAAGGCUCCUUUGAGCCCCCUUUUGAAAACUAAGCAGGCAAAUCUUAGAAAGGGGAAACAACUCUCAAAAUCCUGGCCUGACAAACAGAACCCGCAAUGCCUUGCAAGUAAAGGUGAGGAUUUCUUUACUAUGGAAGAAAAUAUCCUAAUUGACCAAUUCUGGAUGUUCCCACCAUUAAUACAAACUGACAUCUUGGGAAGACUAGAUAAGCUAAGAGAUAAGCUGGCUGAGAGAGCUUCAGGCAACGAGGUUAUCAAGGGGGACCAAAAAAAGACCACAACACGUAACCUUCAGAUCAAAGCGGAGAUUAACUUUCCACCAAGAGAGAAUGUGCCACCCUUCAAGGAGAGUACUCCAUCACCCCCGAAAGAGAAAUAUCCCCAAGGUGACCCCACAAGACGUAUGGGACAAAAUGAGAUACCUAGAUGAAACAGAAUUGGGCCAAAAUCAGGCCAAAACAGACUAUCCACAGAAGGAAUUUAUGCAUAAUAAAGAGCUGGUGUUCACAAACGUGAGCACUUUGCAUCCACCUAUUGAAAUCAUAGAGCGGCUGGAUAGCCCGCCAUUCAAAGACGAUAGGCGUCCGAUACAUAAAGCGACAAACCCUAAAAGUACGUUAGCUAAUAAUUGACAAAGAUUUGAUUGUGAUAAAGCCAAUCUUAAAUUUUUAUCAUGGAACAUUGCUGGUUGGCUCAACAAGGCGACUGACCAAUCAUUUGUCAAUUUUAUUCAAGAUCAUGAUAUAGUCUUCUUGCAAGAGACAUGGCUAACAGGGGAUCUAGAUGUAAAUGGUUUUGCCUCAUUUUCGCUCGCAGGCUCACCAAGCAACAAAGGGGGACGAGUUAAGGGUGGGCUAGGCAUUUUAAUAUCCACAAGGCUGAGAGCAUCUUUCGUCGAGCUGGAGCCUCUGAGCAGUGUGGCCAUGGCAUUAUUGAUGAAAUGCAGAUAUUGCACACUUCUAUUGAUUAAUAUAUAUGCCCCUCCCCAAAGAGGCAAGCAGCUUAUCAAAAAUCUCUGGCAUAGGAUAGAAUCUUAUGUCGAUGAGCUAAUGAAUCAAACUCCUGCUGCGGCAGUGCUGCUGGCUGGGGAUUUAAAUGCCAGAAUUGGCCAAUCAGACGAAGCGUUAUAUGCUCAUUUUCACGACGUACCUCCCAUUUCUGAAGAAGCCCAUUCUAUUCCCCCAAGGCUCUCAAAAGACAAGGGCUGCAAUUACGCAGGCCUAUGCCUUCUACGUUUUCCAACAAUCUGGAUUUGACUGUAUUAAAUGGUCGUGUCGACAGAGAACCCAGUGGGGAAUUUACAUUUAUAUCCAACAUGGGAGCCUCCACUAUCGAUUACGUCCUGGUGUCAUCUAACCUUUUGAGCAGAGCACGGGAAUGUAAAGUGGUGGAGAGGGUUGACAGCGACCAUCUACCGUUCUGUUUAAUACUGGAUGUAAGAAAAGAUUUAUUUUGCUCUGAUAAACUUGUAGCCCCAUGCUUCGAAAACAUGGAGCUAAGAUACUCACGUAUUAAAUGGUCCAGCAAAUUGAGUGAUGAAAUAUCGGAAAGACUUCACUCAGAUAUUUUUCUUGCUAGAAAGGAGAACCUCGUUAAUUCCCCAACUCCUGAGGCCAGAUUAGACAUGUUCCGGGAACUGAUUUCGUCGCUACAACCUUAUCUGACCAACAAAAAACGCCACGGCAAUCUCUACACUUUAAUAAAUCCAAACCUUGGUUUGACCAAGAAUGCAUGGCUAUGAAACGCCUCCUGCUGGAUAAGUACAGGAACUAUAGAACAGCGAACUUACCUUCGCUUCCAUUAGACUGGUUUGAGUCAAAACGCAGUUAUAAAGCUUUGAUUAGCAAGAAAAAGCUCCAGGCACAAAGGGAGGAAUGGCAGUGCCUAGUGGAGGCCUCCCAAAGGAAAGAUUCUGCCACGUUUUGGAAAAUAAUUGCAAAAAGCUGGAGAGACUCCCGAUUGAAAUCGAAUACUCUAUACCCGCUGGAGCAUGGGAGGCCUAUUUCCUCUCAUUAUAUUCAUCAAAUCAACUGGCCCCAGCUCUGCUUCCUGCUUCAAGUGAAUUUGGUAAGGAAUGGCCCCCUGUAACCAUAGAAGAAAUUACUGGACUUAUUCAAGCUCUUAAAUCAGGGAAAGCCCGGGUGCUGACAAUAUCCCACCAGAAAUUCUUAAGGCAAAUGUCGAAUGGUGGGCCCCUGUGCUAGCCGCCUUGUUCACUAGUAUAAAUCAAGCGGCUAUUAUCCCCGAGGACUGGGGUUUAGCCAUCAUCAUUCCAAUAUUUAAGAAAGGAAACAGAACUGAGCCAGCUAACUAUAGACCAAUCAGUCUAUUAAGUAUUAUUAGCAAACUGUAUGCUGCUCAUUUAUGUGAUAAAUUAGUGGAGUGGAUGGAAAGAGAGCAUAUUCUAUCAGAAGCUCAAGCCGGUUUUAGAGCAAAGCGUUCAACUAUAGACCAGGCCCUUACCCUUCAACACCUGGCAGACAAAUAUUCUAGAAAAGGGGGGUCUUUAUAUGCAGCAUUCGUGGAUUUUAAAUCGGCGUUUGAUCUAAUACCAAGGGAUAGACUCUGGGAAAAGCUUGGCGCUACAAACAUAGAUAAACGCUUAUUACGCCUUAUCCGUGGUCUAUACGAAAACACCAGGGUGAGGGUAAGAUGCGAUCGGUCAGGCCAUCUAACUAAAGAAAUUCAAACGCACUAUGGGGUUAAACAAGGAUGUGUCCUCGCGCCAACGCUAUUUAAUUUCUAUAUCAACUCUCUAGCAGUAAAUAUGGCGAAAGAAAAUGCCCACCCUCCCAAACUGGCAGGUAUUCCCAUCCCGGUGCUUCUGUAUGCGGACGACGCAGUCCUACUCUCCUUUUCCUGCAUUGGCCUGAGGAAGCUUUUGAGAUCACUUGCUGACUAUUGUCAAGCGGAACAACUAUCAAUAAAUUACAGCAAAUCUAAAAUUAUGGUGUUUUCAAAAAAGAAGGAAACACAAAUGGAGAAUUAAUGGUCAACCUAUUGACCAGGUAGCAACUUUCAAAUACCUGGGAAUAACUUUUCAGGAAAGGGUCUCGUGGCAUCAACAGAUGAAAACGCCAUUGCCAACGCAGGAAGGGCUAAUAAAGCCCUUACAAGAUUUUUUCACGGGAAAGGGGGUAAAUACGUUCCGGCGGCCUCCCAGGUUUUUGCUGCAAAAAUACUCCCACAACUUACUUAUGGAUCCCAGGUUUGCAGUUUUAAAAAUUUUGCGCCUAUGGAGGCAUUUCAAACAAAAUUCUAUCGGUGUUUAUUGGGGAUCCCCCCCUGUGUAUCUAAUAUAGCUGUCCGCUUAGAAGUUGGACAACCACCCGUUAAUGCGCGGCUGUGGAUUCUAAAGAUACACUACUGGUUAAAACUUAUUUUUCCCCGGCCGGUUUGGCUCCUUUAACACUCUUAGACACCUUUCAUUCCACCUGGAAAGCUUCCCUGUUUGAAAAGAUAAGAAGCUUGGGAUUCUCCCCGCAGAUCUUGAUAGCGGCAGGAUAUGAGAGAGCCAGAAGUCAAGUGCUCCAACGCAUUAGGGACAUAGAGCUGCAAUGUCAUAUGGGCAAAAUGGAUAAACAUGCCAUAAUUAGAGACUUUGGGAGAGGGUUCUCACCCGCAAAUUAUUUGGCUGAUUUACAAAUACCUAAGUACAGACACUCCUUUACCCUGGCCAGAUUUAACGUUCUGCCCUCUGCCCUGCUGCUAGGCAGAUAUGAGGGCAAACCAUAUGAGUCACGUGUUUGCCCGUGUGGCUCAUCGGAAGUGGAAACAAGUCUGCAUGUAUUGCUGCACUGUAGUUACUAUGAGGAUCUACGCUUGACCUUUAUUGCCCCAGUUCUACAAAAGCUUAAAAAUGAACCAGAACUCCAACGUAUGAGAGCCUUGGUAGAAGAUAAGGUUUCUGAAAUUACGAUCAAUGUGGCCAAAUUUUGUGUAGCCGCUAUUAGGCGCAGGAAACAAGAGCUUUCCAAUGUCAUUACGCAGGCGAAGGCAAAUACUUAAUUUUUUAUUUAUGCUGUCUAAUUUUAAAUUGCAGUUAUGUAUUGAAAUUGUCCUUUGUUUUUUCCGGUGUUAUGCUUCGCUGACUAGCUGUACGAGUUAAUCUGGUCUGUGACCGUUUAAUAAAUUUGAUUUGAUUCUGAUCGGCAAGCCCUAGGCUCUGUGGUUUAACCCACAGCGCCACCCACAUCCAAGGGAUGUGAUAGUCCGACUCUAAUCUGCCUUGGUCAGACCACCCCUGGAAGACCAUGUCCAGUUCUGGGCACCACAAUUUAAGAAGGAUGUUGAUAAGCUGGAAGGUGGGCAGAGGAGGGCAACCAAGAUGACCAGAGGUCUGGAAACCAAGCCUGAUGAGGAACAGUUGAUGGAGCUGGGUAUGUUUGGACUGGAAAAGAGGAGACUGAGAGGAGAUAGGAGAGCCAUCUUCAACUAUCUCAAGGGCUGUCACAGGGAAGAGGGAACAAGAUUGUUUUCUCCUGCUCUGGAGGGUAGGACUCGAACCCAUGGCUCCAAGUUACGAGAAAGGAGAUUCCGACUCAGCAUCAGGAAGAACUUUCUGAUGACAAGAGUUGUCCAACAAUGGAAGAGACUCCCUCGAGAGGCAGGGGACUUCUCCUUCCUUGGAGGUUUUUAAGCAGAGGUUGGAUGGCCCUCUGUCAGGGAUGCUUUCGCGGAGAUUCCUGCAUUUCAGUGGGUUGGACUAGAGGACCUUUGGGUCCCUUCCAGCUCUUAAGAUUCUAUGAGGCUCGGGGGUAAGGUUGCCAGCUUUUCAUAACAGUGAAACUUUUCAGCGAACUUUUCUUAACAGUGGCUGGGUAGUUCUGUGGUGCUGGGAUCCGUGAGUUCCCAGGAUUAUUUGGGGGGGGGGUUCGGAGGGGAGAGUGAUAUAAAUGUCUGGGGCGGACAGAGAGGUGGAAGGAACGUCCGUCUCAAAUGCUGAGCAGGACUCUCAGAUCAACGCCUGAGGGCGCCAUUGGCUUGUCCUUUGGCUGAACUUCAUGAAUAACCAGUGACCAUCAUGCUCAGAUCUGCUACAGGAAGGAAGGAAUCAAGGGAGCUAAGAACCUUCGUUCUUGCUCAUAGUAGCACUGGUGGCAAGAGUUGGAAGGGACCUCGUGGGCUCAUCAAGUCCAACCCCACUGCAGCGCAGGAACCACAGCUACAUCUAACUUCAUGCACAAGUCUUUGGAGCAAAAACCCAAACUCUGUACACGGUCAAAUGACAUCAAGGUCGAGAACAGUGCCUGAAAAUUCUCCCACAGUGGCCGCAGUGCUGGAUUUACAUAUAAGCUAAACAAGCUAUAGCUUAGGGCCCCACUCUCUUGGGGGGCCCCCAAAAAAUUCAAAGAAAACAACAACCUGGAUGUACAUUUCCAAAAUAUAAGAUAAAAAACAAUUAAAAUAAAACCUACAUACAGCAACAGUGUUUUGUUUUGCCUUGUGUAGGCUCCUGUGAUGUAAGUAAUGGGCCCUGCCCGCUCCCUAAAAUUUCACUGAUUUGCUCAUUUCUAUCGAUAGGGUGCCUACAUUCUGCAUCGACUGGUUGCAUGGCAACAACAUGUGCAAAUGGCUUUAGAUACCUAGGUAAAGGGACCUCUGACCAUUAGGUCCAGUCGUGGCCGACUCUGGGGUUGUGGUGCUCAUCUCGCUUUACUGGCCGAGGGAGCCGGCAUACAGCUUCCGGGUCAUGUGGCCAGCAUGACGAAGCCGCUUCUGGCGAACCAGAGCAGCGCAUGGAAAUGCCGUUUACCUUCCCGCCGGAGCAGUACCUAUUUAUCUACUUGCACUUUGACAUGCUUUCGAACUGCUAGGUUGGCAGGAGCAGGGACCGAGCAACGGGAGCUCACUCCAUCACGGGGAUUCGAACCGCUGACCUUCUGUUCGGCAAGUCCUAGGCUCUGUGGUUUAACCCGCAGCGCCACCCACGUCCCUAAUAGAUACCUAUUAGGUCCAUAAAUUACCAUAUAGCAUAUAUUCAACACAAAAAAACAGUGACAAUUUGUUGUUGACAAAGGACAGCUGGACAUAUAAAGGGCCCCAUUACCUUCAGUAGCUUAGGGCCUCAUCAAACCUAAAUCCAGCCCUGCCAGUGGGUCAUAGAGCAAUAGCCGAUGAGGCCCUGUGGGAUUAAUCCUAAAGUGGGGCAACCCAGACAACUCCAGAGAUUGUCGGAUGGGGUCUGGACUGGCUGGGGCCCAGGAAACAGAUCAGACUGGGAGGAAUGGUGUGGAACUACAGGGAGGGCUGUAGCUCAGAGCAUUGGGUUUGAAUGCAAAAGAUCCCGGGUUCAAACAUAGAAUUGUAGAGUUGGAGAGGACCCCAGAGCCAUCUUGUUAAGUUCUGGGUGAACAUAUCAGACGACACAGCGAUUCUUCAAACAGCUCUUGUUUAUUCACAGGCCAGAACAGAACCGAACUGAAGGGUUCAGUCAGCUUGCUUAUAUAGAGCUCCACUAGAACGCAACAGUAACCAUUUUCUGUAACGAUCCAAUCACUGAACGUCACUUUCGAUCCCUUAUUUGCAUAUGUGGACCUGAACUAUCUACAGUAUCCUCCUGCUGGCCCAGGGUGAGAACUUCAGUACAUAACACAUCUAGUCCAGCCCCGUUAUGCAGGAAUAUGCAAGUGGCCCAUAGGGAGACUGAACCCACAAUUUUGGUGUUAUCAGCACCAUGUUCUAACCACCCGAGCUAACUGGCAGCCUCUCUAGUAAGGACUGGGAAAAGACCCUUCCCUGAAAUAUCAACAAGCUGCUUCUGCCUGUCAGUGUAGGCACUACUGAGCUAGAUGGACCUGACUGUGAAAAAUUAGGACAGCUUCCUCUUUAAAUCAACCCUUUAUUCAUAAACAUGUGGACUGGAACCCGACUUUGUUUUUAGGGAAAGGGUCAUAGCUCUGUGAUAGCGCACCUUGCCGAUAAGCGAGCAAGCUUCAAACCUACACAGGACUCUUUGCCGAAAAGUGAGCAAGCUUCAAGGUCCCACAAGGUCCCAGUUUUUCUUGGGGUGGUGGUGGUGGGGAAACCAGACUUCUGGUUCCCUCAGGGCCAAGUUCUAGCAUGUCUCUGAAUCCUGCACCCUCUUUUUUUUUGAGCUUGCACUUGGUGGGGAGCCCCCGCCCCCUGAACCAGCCAAUCCCUUGCUCCGCUGAACUACUGGGAUGAAAUCCAGGCAGGCCUUGCCAGGGACACCCCCUCGCUUUUCUCCUGGGGCACACAAUGCGUUUCAUGGAACACAUUUACAAUUCAGAUCAGUAGGCCAGUGCAGAGGGGGGUCCUGUCUGGAAGUGAGAGAGCCAAGCAGGGAAGCUCCUAAGCUGUAGGGGAGAGCGAGAGAGGAGGGCUGCGGACCGUCUCUCCUCUCCCGCAGCAGAACUGCAGAUUUAUUCCUCUUGCACUUCCUUGCUAGAGUCAUCGUCAAGAAACGGCUUUGUUGACAGAGCAGGAGGCUGAGCUCACUGAGCUUUGCAGAAAUAUUAAAACAAACCGUUUUGUUAAAUGAAUAGGGGGCUAUCAGGGGCCUGCCAGCCACAACACCCCUCUUCUCCCGCCCUCCCGUUGGAGGCAGCAAAUGCCUCUGAAUGCUAGUUUUGGGGAAUUGCAAGGGGGAGAGUGUUGCUCAUGUGCUGAGGUCCUGCUUGUGGACGUCUUCCCUUUGGGGCACCUGAGAGGCCACUGUGAGAACAGGUAAAGGUAAAGGGAGCCCUGACCAUUAGGUCCAGUCGCGACUGACUCUGGGGUUGCGCGCUCAUCUCGCUCUAUAGGCCGAGGGAGCCGGCGUUUGUCCGCAGACAGCUUCCGGGUCAUGUGGCCAGCAUGACUGAGCCGCUUCUGGUGAACCAGAGCAGCGCACAGAAACGCCAUUUACCUUCCCGCCGGAGUGGUACCUAUUUAUCUACUUGCACUUUGAGGUGCUUUUGAACUGCUAGGUUGGCAGAGCUGGGACCGAACAACGGGAGCUCACCCCGUCGCAGGGAUUCGAACCACCAACCUUCUGAUCAGCAAGUCCUAGGCUCUGUGGUUUAACCCACAGCACCACCCGCGUCCCACUGUGAGAACAGGAGGCUGGUAGAACUGCUAGAAAAUAUAUAUAUAUAUAUAUACACACACACACACACACACACACACACACACACACACACACACACACACACACACACACACACACACACACACACACCAAGGUCUGGACGCAGUGACUGCAAGCAGGCGGACUUGGGGAGAAGGGGAUGUUGGAAGCUGCCUUAUAUGAUCAUUGGCCUACCCAGCUUAAAAGGUGGGAGAGCUCAGACUCAGGGGUCAAAUGUGGCCCUCGAGGCCUCUGUCUGGCCCCUGGCGAGACUCUCUCCUCAGGCCACACCUCCUCCCUAGCCACGCCCUCUUGCUUUAGGCCACACCUCUCACUGGCCCUGCUCUGCACCUGCCUUGAAAGGGGGAGAGCCCCAGAUGCCAAGUGGAGAUCAAUGCAAUGAAUGAAAUGGAAAGAAACUGAGGAGCUUAAGUAAAAACGUGUUGUAAUCAAAAGCCACCAUGGAGUUCAUUAAAAACACAUGCAGUCAGUGAACUCCUGAACCACCAGCAGCCAGAAUAAUAUAAGGACAUCAGAAGAGGUUGCUGGACGAGGCCAAAGGAUCAUCCUGUUCUCACAGUGGGCAACCAGAGUCCCAAAAGGGAAGCCCACAAGCAGGUUCCGAGGGCAAGAGUAUUCUCCAAUUGUUGUUCCCCAUUGUCUGGUGUUCAGAGGUAGACUGCUCUCACGUGUGGAGGUUCUGCUAUCACAAUAGACAAGCCUGGGCGCAGCCAGUCGAAGGGGGUCCAUCUAAUUCAACAUCCUGCACUCCCAGUGGCCGAUCAGAUGCCCCCAUGGGAAACCCAGAAGCAGGACCCAACACACUGCCCGCCUAACCACCUCCCACUCCCUCACCUGUGAUUCCUGCAUUACAGCGGGUUGGACUAGAUGACCCCUGGGGUCCCUUCCAACUCGACAGUUCUAGGACCUCUCUCCCUCGGUGGUUCCUGGCAUGGACUCCUGCGCCAGCCUCCCUGUGCUGCCAGGGUCAGGCCUGAGCCUGCGCCUUCCCAGGGAAGACAAAAAAGGCAGGAUGAGAAGGCACCGAGACUGGGCUCCCACCUCAAUGCGGGGUCUGUUCCCUGGGCAGAGUGAAUGGGCACUUCUUGAAUGGGUGAAUCACGCUGCCUCUCCCCUGGCAGAGGGGCACGGCCAGGCUAGCCUUGCAGCUCAGGGCUCAGCCAAGGCCGCUGGGGCGAAAGGGAUCCUCUCCAUCUUGAACACAGCUGUGGGUCACCCCACCCCACAGCUCCUCCAGGAUCUUACCAGUGUCUCCAGUAGAGAUUCAGAGAUUCUGGGUUGCAGCAAAUUUAUCAUUAUUUAUCAUAAUUUAUUGCAUUUUUAUCCCUACUUUUUCUCCAGGUUCCUCAAGGUGGCAUAUCCCUUAUGCCUGCCAGAAGCCACCAAGCAGGAUUCGAACACAAGAGCAACUCUCUCCUCCCGCAGUUUCUAGCAACUGGUAUUGAGAAAUAUUGCUGGCUCCAACUGUGGAGGCAGAGCCCAGCCAUUGUAGAUUAUUAUUAUUAUUAUUAUUUUAUUUGUACACCCAUCUGACUGGGUUCCCCAGCCACUCUGGGUGGCUUCCAACAAAUAUAAAAGCAUGAUAAAACAUCAAACAUCAAAAACUUCCCUAUACAAGUCUGCCUUCAGAUGUCUUCCGAAAGUUGCAUAGUUAUUUAUCCCAUUGACUAUAAACCAUCAAUAUCCCUCUUCUCUUCCAUGAAUUUGUCUGAUCCUUUUUAAAAGCCAUCCUAGUUGGUGGCAGGGAGUUCCGUAGUUUAACUCUGUGCUGUGUGAAGAAGGACUUUAUCUGUCCUGAACCUUCCAAGUUCGGCUUCAUUGGGGGGUCACGAGUCCUAGUGUGAUGAGAGUAGGGAGAACAGCAAAGACAUGACAUCUUUCUGCAGGGCCUGCAAGACAGAGCUGUUCCGCCUGGCCUUUGGCUUGGAUUCAGUCUGACCCUUCUGUUUCCCUCCCUUUACGGUUUUGAUUUAUGGGCUACUUUUAAAAUGAAGCUGCAUUUUAAAUUGGGUUCCCCCCCUCUAUUAUUUUCUUUAUUGUAAUUUUACUGGUGUUAGUCGCCCUGAGCCCGGCUCUGGCUGGGGUAAAGGUAAAGGGACCCCUGACCAUUAGGUCCAGUCAUGUGAUAAGGGAAAGCAGCGGAGAAAUGCUGCCAGCCAGUGUUGGCAGCAUGGAGCUAGUUGGAGCAAUGCUUUGGCUCAGGAGAAGGCAGUGCCCCAUGCCCCAGAGGAAACCCACCAGCUGGUUUCCUCGUUUAGGAUGUGGGGCAAAUCCUGCUUCAGCAAGGCUGAAGUCAUCCAAAGUCUUGUGUCUAGAUUAAGGGAAGUGAUAAAGGUAAAGUUAAAGGGACCCCUGACCAUUAGGUCCAGUCGUGGCCGACUCUGGGGUUGCGGUGCUCAUCUCGCUUUACUGGCCGAGGGAGCCGGCGUACAGCUUCCGGGUCAUGUGGCCAGCAGGACUAAGCCGCUUCUGGCAAACCAGAGCAGCGCACAGAAAUGCCGUUUACCUUCCCACUGGAGUGGUACCUAUUUAUCUACUUGCACUUUGAUGUGCUUUUAAACUGCUAGGUUGGCAGGAGCAGGGACUGAGCAAUGGGAGCUCACCCCGUCGCGGGGAUUCGAACCGCUGACCUUCUGAUUGGCAAGUCCUAGGCUCUGUGGUUUAACCCACAGCGCCACCCACGUCCCUCUGGCUGGGGAGGAAUUUUAUUUAUUUAUUUAUUUAUUUAUAUUACUAUUAUUGUUAUUAUUUUCCUUCCCCAAUGCUGCAACUUUUCUUCCUCCUCCCCUCUGUAGGGGAACUGCACCUUUUGGGGCCUGAUGUGCGCUAUGAUCAGCUGCGGUCCCUGCAUUGCAGCAGGUUGGGAUGGAUGACCCUCGGGUCCCUUCCAGCUCUACAACUCCAGGAUUCAAAGCAGCCCUAGGUUUUUGUCCAGCCCAAGACACAGGUGGGUUGCAUAACUUCCCCCAGGAUCCGCACACAAACCCCCCCACACAGAGGGCUUUCUUAGAACACUUCUGGAGAAACCAGCUCAGCCCCAGAGCCGGCUUGCAGGGGUCCCUCCAGUCCACCAGGGCAGGCGGGGGUCACCUCGUUGACCCGGGAUGGCGGGCACAGCUUUCUGGACAAAGAGCUCUGUCCCGAAGGGGCCUGAAAGGAAGGAAUCCCAAAGGAGGCCGCGUCCUACGGGCCCUCCGAGAUCACCCCAUCUCAGUUGCCACAGCGACCGGCCUCAGCCCACCCUCUUGGAAGCCAGUCAUGAAUUCAAGAAGGGGGGGCUGCCGAGGUAACUCUCGGUCAGUCCCAGGAGCAGCAGGAGGGAAGGAAGCUGCUGAAGAGCUAACCCUUUCGUCCUCAGGCUGCUCCAGGGGGAGAAAGCUUUUGGCCUAGACCUGCACCCAUGUUGUUGUUUAGUCGUUUAGUCGUGUCCACCUCUUCGUGACCCCCUGGACCAGAGCACGCCAGGCCCUCCUGUCUUCCACUGCCUCCCUCAGGCUGGCAGCUUCGAGAACACUGUCCCACCACCUCGACCUCUUUCAUCCCCUUCUCCUUGUGCCCUCCAUCUUUCCCAACAUCAGGGUCUUUUCCAGGGAGUCUUCUCUUCUCCUGAGGUGGCCAAAGUCUUGGAGCCUCAGCUUCAGAAUCUGUCCUUCCAGUGAGCACUCAGGGCUGAUUUCCUUCAGAAUGGAGAGGUUUGGUCAUCUUGCACCCAUAGGUGCACCCAUAGGGCACCCAAAAGGCUCCCCUGGAUGCAUCAUGGAUGCCCUUGAAGCUGACCCAGAAACUCCAGCGGGUGCAGAAUGCCGUGGCAAGACUCCUUACAGGGUCCUUGCCACGGGAUCACAUUCACCCGGUGCUAUACCAGCUGCACUGGCUCCCGGUGGAGUACAGGAUCAGGUUCAAGGUGCUGGUUUUGACCUUUAAAGCCCUAUACGGCCCAGGACCCUUGUACCUACGGGACCCCCUUGCCUGGUAUGUCCCAUGUAGGACCGUACAAAUAAAAACAUCUUGGAGGCCCUGGGCCACAGGGAGGUUAGGCUGAACUCAACCAGAGCCAGGGCCUUUUCAGUACUGGCCCCGACUUGGUGGAACGCUCUGUCCCAAGAGACUAGGGCCCUGCGGGACCUGACAUCUUUCCGCAGGGCCUGCAAGACAGAGCUGUUCCUGGCCUUUGGCCAGGGCACAGUCUGACCCCCUCCUUUGGGAAUCCUCACAGAACUCUAGCCCAAUGGUUGCCAUUAAUUUGAUUCUGAAUUGAUUUUCGAAUAUAUUGGUUUUAGAAUGCUGUGUUACUUUGUUGUUGUUAGCCUCUCUGACCCCGGCUUCGGCUGGGGAGGGUGGGAUAUAAAUAAAAAUGUAUUAUUAUUAUUAUUAUGGCUCUUUCAGAGUGUGAAGAAAGGAACUCUGUGGAAGGUGGGGUGGAGACUUCCAUGGUGCCAAGUCCAAACAUCUUCCCAACAGCCUCUGAAAUGCUAAUUCACCCAGUGUUUUAUCAUCUGACAGUUCUCGAUUUCCACAUUGGACAAAUGUGUCAUCUCUGCAUCUGAUCGUUGACCUGCAAUGGUGCUUUGACAACAUUUAUUAUUAUUAUUAUUAUUAUUAUUAUUAUUAUUAUUAUUAUUAUUUAUUAUUUAUACCCCAC